This 551-nucleotide ribosomal RNA is filed under the name uncultured archaeon. RNAcentral describes it as "bacterial SSU rRNA". It matches the Rfam family "Archaeal small subunit ribosomal RNA", at positions 326 to 879 of the family's 1478-position model. The record is from RNAcentral.
CGGGGUGCAGCAGGCGCGAAAACUUUGCAAUAAGCGAAAGCUUGACAGGGCUAUCCCGAGUGCCAUCCGCUGAGGAAGGCUUUUACCCAGUCUAGAACGCUGGGGGAAUAAGGAGAGGGCAAGUCUGGUGUCAGCCGCCGCGGUAAUACCAGCUCUCCGAGUGGUGUGGAUGUUUAUUGGGCCUAAAGCAUCCGUAGCUGGCUAGGUUAGUCCCCUGUUAAAUCCACCGAAUUAAUCGUUGGAUUGCGGGGGAUACUGCUUGGCUAGGGGACGAGAGAGGCAGACGGUAUUUCCGGGGUAGGGGUGAAAUCCUAUAAUCCCGGGAAGACCACCAGUGGCGAAGGCUGUCUGCUAGAACGCGCCCGACGGUGAGGGAUGAAAGCUGGGGGAGCGAACCGGAUUAGAUACCCGGGUAGUCCCAGCUGUAAACGAUGCAGACUAGGUGUUUGGACGGCCACGUGCCGUUCUAGUGCCGCAGGGAAGCUGUUAAGUCUGCCGCCUGGGGAGUACGAUCGCAAGAUUGGAACUUAAAGGAAUUGGCGGGGGAGCAC